CCUACACAAUGGAAGGAGUGACUAUCAAGUAGGGAAGGAGACAGAGAGGGGAUAGAUUUCCACCGCAAAUAAGCGCAACUUCAUUUGGAAGCCACGCCUAGGUGCCAAAAAGCAAAUCACAGCUCGUAUUGGCACCAAGAAUUGGACAGAAAUGGCCAUUGAGAGCUACACUGCCUCCAAUGGAUAACGCGUCUGACUACAGAUCAGAAGAUUCCAGAACAGCCCAACAGCAGGGCCAGUGGCGCAAUGGAUAACGCGUCUGACUACGGAUCAGAAGACUCCAG
Molecule: long non-coding RNA, 284 nt
Organism: Anguilla anguilla (European eel)
Lineage: Eukaryota; Metazoa; Chordata; Actinopteri; Anguilliformes; Anguillidae
Exons: 4
Source: RefSeq, a predicted model, not a curated record